GAUGAACGCUGGCGGCGUGCCUAAUACAUGCAAGUCGAGCGAACAGACGAGGAGCUUGCUCCUCUGACGUUAGCGGCGGACGGGUGAGUAACACGUGGAUAACCUACCUAUAAGACUGGGAUAACUUCGGGAAACCGGAGCUAAUACCGGAUAAUAUAUUGAACCGCAUGGUUCAAUAGUGAAAGACGGUCUUGCUGUCACUUAUAGAUGGAUCCGCGCCGCAUUAGCUAGUUGGUAAGGUAACGGCUUACCAAGGCGACGAUGCGUAGCCGACCUGAGAGGGUGAUCGGCCACACUGGAACUGAGACACGGUCCAGACUCCUACGGGAGGCAGCAGUAGGGAAUCUUCCGCAAUGGGCGAAAGACUGACGGAGCAACGCCGCGUGAGUGAUGAAGGUCUUCGGAUCGUAAAACUCUGUUAUUAGGGAAGAACAAAUGUGUAAGUAACUAUGCACGUCUUGACGGUACCUAAUCAGAAAGCCACGGCUAACUACGUG
RNAcentral lists this ribosomal RNA (497 nucleotides) under uncultured bacterium. RNAcentral describes it as "partial 16S ribosomal RNA". It matches the Rfam family "Bacterial small subunit ribosomal RNA", at positions 28 to 507 of the family's 1533-position model. The record is from RNAcentral.